Long non-coding RNA from Nycticebus coucang (slow loris), 700 nucleotides. RefSeq lists it as uncharacterized. NCBI's taxonomy places the organism in Eukaryota, Metazoa, Chordata, Mammalia, Primates, Lorisidae. The transcript is spliced from 3 exons. The record is from RefSeq and is a predicted model, not a curated record.
CCAUUCAUCUGUCUUCUUUAAGUGGGGUUUUUUGAGUACUGUAGUGUCAGAAGGAAGGUGAAAGUGAAAGUGAAAACUAAACUCUGGUGCGUGUGCAAAAGCUGCUUGCUCCUUAAACAGCAGACGCAGACCAGCCUGGUAUCAACAUGGCUCCGCUCCCAGUAAUGGUGGCUUGUGCCAUCCUGCUGGCCUUUGCCAUCACCCUCACUGUUGUAAGUACCUCACAGAGGAAUGGCCACCAUCGCCCCAACAACCACCGUGAAUACCACAGGAGAGACUCUUUGUGAACAGUGAACAUGCAAGAGCUGCCUGGUCAGGGCAGUGUUCAAUGAGGCCUUAGGCUCCACAAAGCAAAGGCAAAGAAGCAUCUUUCAUGGGCACCAAAAGAAGUCCUUCCCUUCUGGGCCUCCCUGACCCCGGUUCUCCCUGUGCUGACAACUGAGGGGAAUGUCUCCCCAGCUCUCUGCUUCCUCAGCUUCACGCUCAUCUCAGCCGGGUACAUCGCGCUGCUCCUCCAUUCACACCAAGAUGGGAAUUUGAAAUGGAUUUGAACAAACAGGCCCUGCCUAGGGCAUAUGCAUCUGUUGGUGGGGGGGGGGUCGCCCUGCCUGUGAGCUUGUGAGCGGGAGGAACAAGUGUCUAGACUCCCGAGCUUCACUCUUUUAAUCAUUCUGCCAAUUAAUAAAUGUGUGUGAGCAUU